UGAGUCAGCCAGACGGUCGCGGGCAGAAAUGCACGAGGAAAGUCCGAGCACCACAGGGCACGGGUGCAGGGUAACCCCCUGUCAGGGCGACCUGAAGGAAAGUGCAACAGAGAUAUACCGCACGGCAACGUGUAAGGGUGGAAACGCGAGGUAAGAGCUCACGCACGUGCUGGUGACAGCAUGAUGAUGUAAACCCCACUUGGUGCAAGAUAGAACGACAAAAUGCUGACCCGGCAUCGUUCGCUAAAAUCGCUUGAGCCUGUUGGUAACAGCAGGUCUAGACAGAUGACCGUUUAAUACAGAACUCGGCUUACAGACUGAUCUCAUUGC
Molecule: RNase P RNA, 330 nt
Filed under: Clostridiales bacterium
Lineage: Bacteria; Bacillati; Bacillota; Clostridia; Eubacteriales
Description: RNase P RNA component class A
Rfam family: Bacterial RNase P class A
About the family: Ribonuclease P (RNase P) is a ubiquitous endoribonuclease, found in archaea, bacteria and eukarya as well as chloroplasts and mitochondria.
Source: RNAcentral